RNAcentral lists this ribosomal RNA (292 nucleotides) under uncultured bacterium. RNAcentral describes it as "partial 16S ribosomal RNA". The record is from RNAcentral.
GGACUACUGGGGUAUCUAAUCCUGUUUGCUACCCACGCUUUCGUGCCUCAGCGUCAGAACAGGCCCAGGAGGUUGCCUUCGCCAUCGGUGUUCUUCCAGAUAUCUACGCAUUUCACCGCUACACCUGGAGUUCCGCCUCCCUCUACCGUUCUCUAGCCUGCCAGUAUCGACUGCAAUUCCCAGGUUAAGCCCAGGGCUUUCACAACCGACUUAACAAACCGCCUACGCACGCUUUACGCCCAGUAAAUCCGAUUAACGCUUGCACCCUCUGUAUUACCGCGGCUGCUGGCAC